RNAcentral lists this long non-coding RNA (4209 nucleotides) under Sus scrofa (pig). Its description in RNAcentral is "lncRNA (ENSSSCG00055008363.1)". The record is from RNAcentral. Lineage: Eukaryota; Metazoa; Chordata; Mammalia; Artiodactyla; Suidae.
AUUUUUAAAAUGAUUCUGUAAUAGGUCUAUGUCGAAAAACAUCUCAGAAGUGUAAAAUGAAUGAUUGAUAUUUAGUCUAAUUACAUAAAAUACAGAAGGAUUCCAUAAGGGAAAAACAUAAACAAAGACAAAAUAUAAUUAGAAUCCAGGGGAAAAUUUGCAACUCAUAUAGACAAAUGGCUAAUUUCCUUAAUGCAUUAAUACCAAAUUAAUCACUAAGAAAAAGUCUAUAACUCAUUAGCAAACUAGAUAAGAAUUUUUAUUUAAAAAUUACACAAGUGGCUCUUUAGCAUGUAAAUAAGCUCAACCUCAUUCAAAAUAAAUGAAAAUUAAGCAGCAGUGACCAUUCUUCAUCCAUGAUAUUGGCAAAUAUAAAAAAAAAAUGAAAACACUAAUUGAGUUAGGGGUUGAGGGUAAGGGGAAAUAAAUAUUCUUGAACAGUUUUAGUAAGAGGGUAAAUUGCUACAACUCCAUGGAAAGAAAUUUUGGUAAUCUUUAUCCAAAACAAAAAUGCAAACCCUUUGUUUCAAGAAAUUCUAUUAUUAAUUUUUCCUAAAAACUAUUUUUACAAAUGCAAAAUGAAGAAUUCAUAAGUACAUCUACUGUAGCACUAUUUGUAAUAGCAAAAACCAGAAAACAACAUAAGCAUCCAGCAAUAAGGGUCAGGUUAAAUAAAUUGUAGUUUCAUACAAUGGGAUACUACACAGCCUUUAAUAAGAGUAAAAUUGGUCUUUAUGCACUGAUAUAAUCUAUAACCGGCAGCAUAGAUUUUUUUUUUUUUUNGUUUUUUUGUCUUUUUAGGGCUAUACCCGUGGCAUAUGGAGGUUCCCAGGCUAGGGGUUGAAUCGGAGCUGUAGCCGCUGGCCUACACCACAGCCACAGCAAUGCCAGAUCCAAGUGGUGUCUGCAACCUACACCACAGCUGAUGGCAAUGCCAGAUCCUUAACCCACUGAGCGAGGCCAGGGAUUGAACCAGUAUCCUCAUGGGUGCUAGUCAGGUUCCUUAACACUGAGCCACGAGGGGAACUCCAUGCAAAGUAGAUUUUAAAGUGAAAAAUACAAGAUGCAAAACAUGUGUACCAAGCUACCAUUUAUGUAAAAAUAUUUUUUUCAUGUAUACCUUCACAAACAGAAUAUUUCUGGAUAAGAAACAAUAACAGGGUUUACCUCCAAGGAAGGACACUGAGUGACGGGAUACAGGAAUGGGAGAAAGAUCCAAGUUUCACUGUAUUCGCUUUUGUACAUUAAAUUUUUCUUGUGAGUAUAUUCCUAAUUCAAAAUAGAUUUAAAAAUUGAAUCUCCAUCAAUAACUUCCUGAUCUGGGUUUUUAAAGUGAGUCUUAGAUUUGGAAGAGACUUCAGAGAUUAUCUUGUCCAAUCUUUUUUAGCAAUGAAGGAAACGUGUACCACAGGAGCAGUGGAUAAUUUUUUACUUUCUUGAACAUUUUAUUGGUGGGAGCCUACUCCUUAUUGAAACAAACAGCUCGUUCUGCCUUUGUAUAGGUUCAAUUUAUUUAUUCAUUGAUCUAUUUAGCUAAUAUUUAUUUAAUAUUUAAUAAGCAUUUAGCAUGGUGUGACUGUUGUAAUUCCUCCAUUAUAUAGACCCCCCCAAAGGGGUCUUUUAUUUGGCAUCGAUUUAUUUUACUUUCAGUUUCUAGAGAAUUACAUGAGUACCCUUCAGUAACUGGAGAACACUUAUUCUGUGCUAAAUAUACUCUACUCCCUGUUCUGUUUCUUAUAAGCAAUAUGAAGUGGUUUUCAGACCCUUGCUCACCCCAGGAAUAAUUUAAUCUAUUUUUGUAUGCCUUCUUCACUGUGGUACCCUGAACUGAUUUCAACAUUCCCGAGUGGCCAGACUAACAGAGAGUAGAUAUAUUUUUAUCUGGGUUGCAUAGUUUUAUUAAUACGGUUUAACAUUAUGUUCAUUUUUGUUGACCAUGUUGUGAAAAGGGUCAAACUGAAUUUACAGUCAAAGAGUCAGUGAGAAAGAAAAGACAACCUCACAGAUAAGGGAAAAAAUUUUUUAAUCAUAUAGUGAUAACAGACUGUGUCAAGAUGAUGAAAAAAGCACUUGCAACUCAAUCAUAAAUAGAUAAGUAACCCAAUUAAAAGAUGGACAAAGGGUUUGAAUAGGACAUACACCAGCAAUUGUGCUCCUAGACAUUUGUCUGGGAGACAUGAAAACGUAUAUCCACACAAAAAUUUCUACAUGAAUGUUCAUACAUAACAGUAUUAUUCAGAAUGAUCAAAAAAUGGAGACAAUCCAAAUGUUCAUCAACUGACAAAUUAACAAAUACAGUGUACUCAUGCAAUAGAAUAUCUUUUAGCCAGAAAGAGGAAUGAAGUACUGAUAUAUUCUACAAUCUGGAUGAACCUUGAAAACACUAUGCUAAAAAGUCACAGAAAAGAUCACAUAUUGUAUGAUUCCAUUUAUGUGAAAUGUCCAAAACAAGCAAAUCUAUGAUGGCAAAAAGCAAAUUAGUGAUUGCCAAGCAAUGAGGGGAGUGUAGAAUGGGAAUGACUGCUAAUGAGUAUGGGGUUUAUUUUAGGGGCAAUGAAAUAUUCUAAAAUGUUAUUGUGGUGACAGUUGAAUAACUCAGCUAAUAUACUAAAACCCACUGGAUUUUACAUUUUAAAAUUUUAUAAUGUAUGAUUUAUAGCUCAAUAAAUCUGUUUCUUGUAAAAGUAGAACCUGUAGGUCAGAGAUUGUUAUGAAUUUUGUGCCAUGAAAUUGCACUGGCAACCUUGUGUUGAAUCCUUUCUUGGAAUACUUUUACAUAUAAAAAUAAAAUGCACAAGACUGCAAAAUGAAGGCAGUUAACUGAAAUACAAUUUUAGUCUCAGGCUCACCUUUUGAAAUAUUGUCAAGUCAUGUCUCCAUUGUCAUUGCUAAUUUUGAACCUUAAUGCAGAGAUGCAUAUUUAUUUUUGUUAAAUUUUGUCUUGCUUGCUUUUCAUCCCUUCAGCCUGUCAAGAUCUUUUUGAUAUCUGUUACUGUCAUUCCACAUUUGUCCUUGAGCUUUGUUGGAGGUAUAAUACAUAUUCCUCCUUUUUCUUCAUUUGAAUUAUUGAUGGGAAUGUUGAAUAAUAACAUAUGGCUAGGUUCAGACCUUAUAGCCCUCAACUACUUGAUUUUACUACACAAAACUAUGCAUACUUUUAAGAAAGUUACUUACAAAAUCUCAUUCUCAUCUAGCCAACAUACCAUAGUUUUUAUCUACAAAAUGUUAUUUAUUCAUUUGUUGAUUAAAUAUACAUUAAUCAAGUACCUGCUAUGGGCCAGGAUCUUUGCUAGAUGCUGGAAGUAUGAUGGUGAAAAUGACAUAUUCUCUGCUUUUCAUUUAACUUACAGUCUAGCAGGGGGAGCAAGGUGAGGAGCGAGGGAGACUGUUGAAGCAGUUCAGAGGCCAGAUCAUGAAACGUCCUAGAUAGCAAACUAAGAUGGCAUAUUUGCAUAUCAUGUAAAACUUCAGUUCUCUAUGUUCCCUAAUAUUACCAUUAAUAACCCUGUUAAAAAAUGAAGAGUUAUGAAUUAGACAUGACUUUUCUCUGAGAACCCAUUUUUGUCUCCCUGUCAACCCUUCUCUCCAAGUGCUUAUAAGCCAUCUCUUUUUAGCAACUUCUUAAAUAAUUUUGCAGGAGGUGGGCACAUGGAUCAAAGACCAAAAUAAACUGUCAGCAAUAAGAAAGAAGAAUGAAGCCAACUCUCAAAGAGAAGUCGGGAGGGAAGUAGAAGUAGGCUGGGCAGUGUUCAAAACUGAGUUCAAAUUUUCAUGACUGCCAGGUUUUUGAGGGGGCUUUAUGAGGCAGUGAUGUUGUAUUAAUUUCUUUUUCUGCUUGAAAUGGUUUGAGUUUUUUGAGACCUGUUAUUGAAACUCCUCUGGCUAAUACAGAUGUGCUGCCUUCUCAGCUUUUCUGAGAACACAUGGGCCUUCUUAAAACACAGCGUGACUUGCUCCUCUUUUCUUUUCACUCUGUUUCUUCUAAACCAAACGUAUUCUUGUUUUCCAUUGCUGUCUACUUUUUUUUUUUCUUUUUAUGGCUGCUCCUGUGGCAUAGGGAGGUUCCCAGGCUAGGGGUCAAAUCAGAGCUACAGCUGCAGGCCUACAUCACAGCCACAGCAACACCAUAUUCAAGCUACAUCUGGGAUCUACACUGUAGCUCGUGGCAACACCAAAUCCUUAACUCACUGAGCGAGGCUAGGGAUCAAA